Molecule: ribosomal RNA, 497 nt
Filed under: uncultured bacterium
Lineage: Bacteria
Description: partial 16S ribosomal RNA
Rfam family: Bacterial small subunit ribosomal RNA
Source: RNAcentral
GAUGAACGCUGGCGGCGUGCCUAAUACAUGCAAGUCGAGCGAACAGACGAGGAGCUUGCUCCGCUGACGUUAGCGGCGGACGGGUGAGUAACACGUGGAUAACCUACCUAUAAGACUGGGAUAACUUCGGGAAACCGGAGCUAAUACCGGAUAAUAUAUUGAACCGCAUGGUUCAAUAGUGAAAGACGGUUUUGCUGUCACUUAUAGAUGGAUCCGCGCCGCAUUAGCUAGUUGGUAAGGUAACGGCUUACCAAGGCAACGAUGCGUAGCCGACCUGAGAGGGUGAUCGGCCACACUGGAACUGAGACACGGUCCAGACUCCUACGGGAGGCAGCAGUAGGGAAUCUUCCGCAAUGGGCGAAAGCUUGACGGAGCAACGCCGCGUGAGUGAUGAAGGUCUUCGGAUCGUAAAACUCUGUUAUUAGGGAAGAACAAAUGUGUAAGUAACUAUGCACGUCUUGACGGUACCUAAUCAGAAAGCCACGGCUAACUACGUG